CAGGUGUCUUAACUUUUGGAAAUCCAGUCAGAUUGGCUGCUGAUAGCUGUAUGGCCGAAGUAGAUGUUGAAGAAAUUGCUUAAAGGUUUAAAAUGACUCCUCAUUGGAAUCACUUGGAAGAAAUGGACAACACUUGGAAAAUCUGCUUGAUAGCAAUCUGUGGAGGUUUCUUGAUAUGGUACAACUUUGAAGGCAGAACUACUGAUACAGUAACUCACAUGGAACUCUGAUAGAAGCCUCCUGGCCCUAAAUUCUCCAUUUCAUAUACCUGAAAGAGGUCAGACA
Molecule: long non-coding RNA, 285 nt
Filed under: Anser brachyrhynchus (Pink-footed goose)
Lineage: Eukaryota; Metazoa; Chordata; Aves; Anseriformes; Anatidae
Description: lncRNA (ENSABRG00000021414.1)
Source: RNAcentral